This is a long non-coding RNA of Macadamia integrifolia, 816 nucleotides long. RefSeq lists it as uncharacterized. The record is from RefSeq and is a predicted model, not a curated record. The transcript is spliced from 3 exons. Lineage: Eukaryota; Viridiplantae; Streptophyta; Magnoliopsida; Proteales; Proteaceae.
UUGAGUACGAACUACGAAAUGGCCAUGAUUCUCCUGAAGGUUCAAGAACUUUCCCUUCUCCUCCCUAGAUGUCGCAGAUGAAUAAAACUCCGAAUCCCAAACUCUCUUUCCUUCUCUUCCCUUGUUUGCCUCGGAACGACUUUGAAGCAUCUGCGAGUCUGCAAGAACACGAGUUUCACACUCACUAAUUUAGAGAACCUUCAAGAGGUAAGAUUUACAUAGCUUGGACACACAUGCGUGGAACCUCUGCUUUAUCCCCUGCAAAGAACAUUCUCAAACAAAUUUAUCCUAUCAGAAGAACUUGGGUGUCAACUUCAAUCCCGAAGAAGCAAAGCAAUGAUCUUGGAGAUGGUGAGAGACCUACUAUGAAUAACAAGGCUGAGCCUGAGGUCAUUGUUGCCUUCAACAAACCGCCACUUCCACCUGUUCUUGGGCCUUUUAUUGUUAUUUCACUGCUGGAAAUGGGAUCAAGCGGCAAUGAUGACUGAAAGGUGAUUUAGCUUACUUCUAUAAACCCUAAAGUUGGAGAUGGUGUGAAGCAGCUUACCUCUCUGUCUUUAUUUGAAGGGCUUUGAUAUGGUUAUCAAAAUGUUGAGUAGGUAACCUAGUGUUUGAGAGACAAGUUUCCAGAGGUUGAUGUAGAAAUCAAGAAUUGGAUGGAUUAAAGGCUCAAAGAAUAUAUUGUAGAUAUUUAAUAGCAAAUUUAGUAUGGCAUGUGGCCUUUGUAGGAACCCUGCGGGAAUGAAUCAUCACUGAUUUCAGAAUGUAUUUUGUAUGAUAAGAGUAAAUUUUGAAAUUUCAGGGCUAGUUAACCUA